UGGCCUACGGGACGCAGCAGUGAGGAAUAUUGGUCAAUGGGCGGGAGCCUGAACCAGCCAAGUCGCGUGAGGGAAGACGGUCCUAUGGAUUGUAAACCUCUUUAGGCGGGGAGCAAUGCCGGGCACGCGUGCCCGGAGGGAGAGUACCCGCAGAAUAAGCAUCGGCUAACUCCGUGCCAGCAGCCGCGGUAAUACGGAGGAUGCGAGCGUUAUCCGGAUUUAUUGGGUUUAAAGGGGGCGUAGGCGGAUUUUUAAGUACGCGGUAAAAUGUCCGGGCUCCACCCGGGCCGGCCGUUGAA
RNAcentral lists this ribosomal RNA (299 nucleotides) under uncultured bacterium. RNAcentral describes it as "partial 16S ribosomal RNA". It matches the Rfam family "Bacterial small subunit ribosomal RNA", at positions 335 to 631 of the family's 1533-position model. The record is from RNAcentral.